GCAUAUCAAUAAGCGGAGGAAAAGAAACCAACAGGGAUUGCCUCAGUAGCGGCGAGUGAAGCGGCAAAAGCUCAAAUUUGUAAUCUGGCGUCUUUGGCGUCCGAGUUGUAAUUUGAAGAAGGUAACCUUGGGGUUGGCUCUUGUCUAUGUUCCUUGGAACAGGACGUCACAGAGGGUGAGAAUCCCGUGCGAUGAGAUGACCAAUUCCAUGUAAGGUGCUUUCGACGAGUCGAGUUGUUUGGGAAUGCAGCUCUAAGUGGGUGGUAAAUUCCAUCUAAAGCUAAAUAUUGGCGAGAGACCGAUAGCGAACAAGUACAGUGAUGGAAAGAUGAAAAGAACUUUGAAAAGAGAGUGAAAAAGUACGUGAAAUUGUUGAAAGGGAAGGGCUUGAGAUUAGUCUUGGUAUUUUGCGCCCUUGCCUCUCGUGGGCGGGGUCUACGCAGCUUACCGGGCCAACAUCGGUUUGGAUGGCGAGAUAAUGAUGGAGGAAUGUGGCUCGCCUUCGGGUGAGUGUUAUAGCCUGUAUUGAUGUCGCCUGUCU
Molecule: ribosomal RNA, 541 nt
Filed under: Debaryomyces sp.
Lineage: Eukaryota; Fungi; Ascomycota; Pichiomycetes; Serinales; Debaryomycetaceae
Description: partial large subunit ribosomal RNA
Rfam family: Eukaryotic large subunit ribosomal RNA
Source: RNAcentral